RNAcentral lists this ribosomal RNA (359 nucleotides) under uncultured bacterium. Its description in RNAcentral is "bacterial SSU rRNA". It matches the Rfam family "Bacterial small subunit ribosomal RNA", at positions 30 to 396 of the family's 1533-position model. The record is from RNAcentral.
AUUGAACGCUGGCGGCAUGCUUUACACAUGCAAGUCGAACGGGCUGGGGGCAACUCCAGUCAGUGGCGAACGGGUGAGUAAUGCAUCGGAACGUGUCCCGUAGUGGGGGAUAACCCGGCGAAAGCCGGACUAAUACCGCAUAUGCUCUACGGAGGAAAGUGGGGGACCGCAAGGCCUCACGCUAUGGGAGCGGCCGAUGUCCGAUUAGCUUGUUGGUGGGGUAAUGGCCUACCAAGGCGACGAUCGGUAGCUGGUCUGAGAGGAUGAUCAGCCACACUGGGACUGAGACACGGCCCAGACUCCUACGGGAGGCAGCAGUGGGGAAUUUUGGACAAUGGGGCAACCCUGAUCCAGCCAUG